UUGUGUGCGGCCUAUUUAAUCACUAAUCUAAACUCCUAGUUUUUGAGAUAAAUAUUUUAAUUAAAAUACUUCUACUUGAAAAUCCUCUGUAUUUUGAUCACAAUAUAUGUAUACAUAUUUCAAGGAUUUGACUAUCAAUUAAAUAAUUUUAAAUCCGAACUUAAUAAGAUAUAUUAAAUGCACGUGUACAUUUAGAAGUGUUUUUUAUAUUUGGAGUGGGAUGAUAAGACAAUUGUAUCCCAAUUGUUCACCAAUACAAGAAAAUAAAACUAAUAUUUAAACGAUUAUUUUAAUUUGAAUAACUAAUUCAAACAACGGUCCAAAGAUCAAAAUUUCAAAGAAUAAAAGUACAACUAUGAGGGAUGAGAUUUAUAAAAUAUUGACAUUUUUGAUUAGCAUAAAGUAUGCUCAUGCGAUUCAUAUUAUGCAUAAUAUGAGGCACACUGAAUAAUUGUUAGAGUUAAAUUAAAAAUGAAAUAUCUUAUGGAACCAAAAAUAAAUCCAUAAUAAUGGUUAAGCACAGUUUAGUAUUGCUAAUUAAUAUUUGAAACACAGACAACAGGACUAGGAAGAGAAGUAGAGUAAGUAAAUAAAAACACUGAAAAUUAUGUU
Aphis gossypii (cotton aphid) is the source of this 612-nucleotide long non-coding RNA. RefSeq lists it as uncharacterized. NCBI's taxonomy places the organism in Eukaryota, Metazoa, Arthropoda, Insecta, Hemiptera, Aphididae. The transcript is spliced from 3 exons. The record is from RefSeq and is a predicted model, not a curated record.